UUGCCUGUUCCUGACGCUGCCUCUGCCUAAUACCUGGAAUAAACCACCGUCUGAUCACCGUCAACCUGUGUUUUGCUGUGCAUUUGGGUCCUCAUCCGGGCGUUCCUUGACACAGCCAACAGAAAGUAGGCAGAGGCUAAAACAACUGGUGGAGGACCUGCACCUCCACCAUUGACGCAUGCAGAGGAGAAGGGCCUCAGCCUGAACACUGGAAAGCAGGGGCUAAAGGAAUUCAUCAGAACCCGUCACUCCCCAGGAUACAAGUGCAUGUGUAAAAUACUCUGGGUUGGGUUCUUUGGUCUCAACAGAUUCUGAUGGUAAUAUAUGAAUCCUCCUGUCACAACAGAAGCCCAGGAUGUUAGUGUGGAAGAACAGCAGGAGGAGGUCAGUCACAUUCUGCUGCACAGAUGCACACAGUUCAGUGAUGUUCAGUAAAUGCCAGAGUUCAAUUCUGUAAGAGUAAUGAGGAACAUGUCAUUUCGAGAUGUCAUGUAACUAUAAAUCUUCUGUAUUUUAGGUUACCGGUUACAGAGUUGUAUAAACGUAAUCUCAAGGAAAUGUUAUACUUGUACCACAAGAUUGAAAAGGCAGAUCUAGAAAUUAAAAUUCCCAAACACAAGCUGGAGAUGAGUGUAUAGUUAAAGGUGAAUUGUAUGAAUUAUUGAAAGAAUCAUAAAAUCUAACAAUUGCCUUUGUAUUUGUAGGAAAUGAAAAAAAAACAAAUAAAUUAUGAUUUACAUCUA
Molecule: long non-coding RNA, 743 nt
Organism: Betta splendens (Siamese fighting fish)
Lineage: Eukaryota; Metazoa; Chordata; Actinopteri; Anabantiformes; Osphronemidae
Exons: 4
Source: RefSeq, a predicted model, not a curated record